This 2454-nucleotide unclassified non-coding RNA is filed under the name Anthonomus grandis grandis. RNAcentral describes it as "uncharacterized LOC126735291". Lineage: Eukaryota; Metazoa; Arthropoda; Insecta; Coleoptera; Curculionidae. The record is from RNAcentral.
UGACAACGAGCGUUGAUUAGUUUUUUUAGUUAGUAAGUAGUUGUAAAUUCACAGUGAAAAUGGACAAAAAAAGCUUGACAAGAACAGAACUGAUUCUACAAAUGGCGAUGAAUAAAAAUUCCAGUAAUAUGGGGGAAGAAAUAUGUCAUGAGGAGCCUGACAAUAUUAUCGAAGAAGCGUCUCAACAUAGCUUUAUAAUUUUGCCGAAUGAAAGUACUGACAUAGUAAAUACUGUGCAGACGGUAGCUGGUAGGAUUAGAUGCAGACGAAAUUGGGGAAUCCUAUAAUAACAGAGAUGUAAACACAAAAUUUGGGAAAUAUGUUUGAAAACAGAGUUAUUUAUUUUGAAGAGAACUUUGUACCUGCAGCGAUUGAAGGUCAUUCAGAUUUGGCACUGGGGAAUGAUUUUCAAGAAAUUCAGGAACCCAUUCUUCAGAAUAAUUUGACUCAAUUGGAAAAUGUACUUUAUGAACGUAGUGACGGUAAUAAUGAGAAUUCGGACAUAAUACCCGACUUGCAAGUUGUUCAAAAUCCAGAAGAAAUUCAAUCGCAUGACUCUUUACAAGAUGUAUUUCAAGAUGAGCAAGAUAUUGGAAUUACUCAAACAGAAAAUGAAGAAGACUCUAGCAGUCCAGAUGAAAAUAUUCCUUUGGCUAAUUUAAAAGAACUACAGAGAAAGGAAAAUAUGAAAAAGAAGAAAAACAAAAUAUCAUGGAAAGAAAGGUCUAAACUUAAAAAUAUAACAAAACAUCCACUUAGAGAAGCCUGCAAAGAUUCAUGCAGCAAAAAGUGGAAGAAAUUAAUAAAAGAAGAACAAAGACAAUCAAUUCAUGACAGUUUUUGGUCUUUAACAUGGUAUGAUCAAAGAAAGUGUAUCCUUAAUUCAUGUAGCCGAGUGUCAGUUAAAAAGAGAACUAUAACUGCUGGAUAUUAUCAAUGAAAUUUAACUUUUUCUUACAAAUUAACUCAAGACAGUGGAAUGUUAGUGGAUGUAUGUAAGAUUUUUUAUUUAACAACACUGGGAUACCAUCCAAAAAAUGACAGAUUUAUUUUUAAUGUUUUGCACAAAACUGGACCAGGAUCAAUAUUACCAAAUAAAGACCGCAGAGGACAUAAUCCUCCGGCCAAUAAAAUUGAUAGGCAAUUGAUAUUAAAUCAUAUCGAAACGUUUCAUCCAAGCAUUUCCCACUACCGACGUGAGCAUGCUCCUUACGUGAAAUACCUGCCCAGCGAUGUAACCAUUGUUUCUAUGCAUCAAGAUUAUAUAGAAAAACACCCAAAACACAAAUGUGGAUAUCAAGCAUAUAGAAAAAUAUUAUUUGCAGAAAAAAUUAGAUUUACAAAACUGGGCCAUGAAGAAUAUGAAAGUUGCGAAGUUAUGAAUCUUCAUGAGCACCAAAGUGAAAAUUUAAACCCAGAGUGCUCAGUUUGCAAGAAAUGGUCAGAUCACAUAAAUAAGGCCAAAAUCGCCAGAAAUCUAUAUAAAGCACAUGCAAACACUGACUACGAUUGUAGAACAGUUUGCAUUUCAGCAGAUUUAGAAAAAAUCGUCAUGCUUCCAAGGAUGGAAAGUUUUAAAAAAGUUUUGUUUACUCAAAGGUUAGUAGCUUACAACGAAACUUUUGCACCCCUUGGUUCAAAAAAAUCCAAUGCCACAAAAGUAUUACCAUUUGCAGUUACUUGGCAUGAAGCCAUACGGGGAAGAGGGAAAGAGGAAUUGAUAAGUUGUUUCUUUCAGUUCAUACUUCGACAUAGAGACGCUGAAAAUUUUAUAUUUUGGCUCGAUAACUGCUCUUCCCAAAAUAAAAUUUGGGCAAUAACGACAUUUCUUGUUUACAUUGUCAAUUCUUUAAGAGUGGCAGCUUAGACUAUUGAUUUUUUUUAUUUUGAGGCCGGUCAUACGUUUAUGUCAGCCGACUCCCUACACCAUCAAAUUGAACUAUCACUUAGGCGUCAAAAAAAAACUUGUGACUUUAAUGAUUUCGUCGCCGCUAUUCAAAAAGCAAACGGAGGAAAAAUGGAAACACAAGAAAUGAUGAUAACUGAUUUUUAUGAGUUUAAAGAUUUGUCAUCAGUUAAUAAGAGAAACAUGACAACUAAUAAAGAAAAGAUAUUGCUAUCGGAUAUUGUCCAUGUAAAAGCAACACGAGGAUCUUUUGACUUGAUGGUCCAAUGUGAUCUAAAAAGUGAAAACUUUAAAACACUUAAUUUUCUUCGGAGUGAUGUAUAUAAAAUAAAAACAAUUUUUGACCCUUUUCAGUUUACUAUUACAUGUGGAAUUAGUGAGGAAAAAAAAGCAACUAUUAUAAAAAAUUUGUUGAGCGUAAUGACCGAAAAUCGAAAAGAAUUCUGGCUUAAUUUACCUGUGUUUACCGCUCCACAAAAAACACAAAAUAUUAAAAAGAAAUGUAACAAAAAAAGAGUAACUCAAUAAAUAAAAAUGUUCAAAAUUUA